This 253-nucleotide ribosomal RNA is filed under the name uncultured bacterium. RNAcentral describes it as "partial 16S ribosomal RNA". It matches the Rfam family "Bacterial small subunit ribosomal RNA", at positions 524 to 776 of the family's 1533-position model. The record is from RNAcentral. RNAcentral also lists the same sequence under 1 other name.
AACGUAGGAGACAAACGUUAUCCGGAGUUACUGGGCGUAAAGGGCGUGUAGGUGGUUACGUAAGUCUGGCGUGAAAUUUCUCGGCUUAACCGAGGCAGGUCGUCGGAUACUGCGAGACUAGAGGACGGUAGAGGCGUGUGGAAUUCCGGGUGUAGUGGUGAAAUGCGUAGAGAUCCGGAGGAACACCAGUGGCGAAGGCGACACGCUGGGCCGUACCUGACACUGAGGCGCGAUAGCAUGGGGAGCAAACAGG